This 494-nucleotide ribosomal RNA is filed under the name uncultured bacterium. RNAcentral describes it as "bacterial SSU rRNA". It matches the Rfam family "Bacterial small subunit ribosomal RNA", at positions 25 to 518 of the family's 1533-position model. The record is from RNAcentral.
CAGGAUGAACGCUGGCGGCGUGCUUAAUACAUGCAAGUCGAACGAAGACUUCUCGCUGAAUUGAAUUCAUUCUUUCUUGAGAUGUCUUAGUGGCGGACGGGUGAGUAACGCGUGGGUAACCUGCCUUACACAGGGGGAUAACAGUUAGAAAUGACUGCUAAUACCGCAUAAGCGCACAGUAUCGCAUGAUACAGUGUGAAAGACUCCGGUGGUGUAAGAUGGACCCGCGUCUGAUUAGCUAGUUGGUGAGGUAACGGCCCACCAAGGCGACGAUCAGUAGCCGGCCUGAGAGGGUGAACGGCCACAUUGGGACUGAGACACGGCCCAAACUCCUACGGGAGGCAGCAGUAGGGAAUAUUGGACAAUGGGGGAAACCCUGAUCCAGCGACGCCGCGUGAGUGAAGAAGUAUUUCGGUACGUAAAGCUCUAUCAGCAGGGAAGAAAAUGACGGUACCUGACUAAGAAGCACCGGCUAAAUACGUGCCAGCAGCUGC